This 701-nucleotide ribosomal RNA is filed under the name Atyoida pilipes. RNAcentral's name for it is "eukaryotic LSU rRNA". It matches the Rfam family "Eukaryotic large subunit ribosomal RNA", at positions 68 to 632 of the family's 3401-position model. Lineage: Eukaryota; Metazoa; Arthropoda; Malacostraca; Decapoda; Atyidae. The record is from RNAcentral.
ACCGGGAUUCCCCGAGUAAGGGCGACUGAAACGGGACCUAGCCCAGCGCAUAACCUCGCGGUUCGUGCAGAGCCGACGAGGGGUGUUGCGUAUCGGUGGAUCCGUCCCGCCCGUGCCCUACCGCCUAAGUCCAAGUAGGAAUACAGCCCCGCGGAGGGUGAGAGGCCCGUGUGGCGGCGCCCGCAAGGGCUACUAGGGCGCGGGCGGAGGGAUCGCUUCACCGGAGAGUCGGGUUGCUUAAUACUGCAGCCCUAAGAGAGGUGGUAAACUCCAUCUAAGGCUAAAUACAACCACGAGUCCGAUAGGAGACAAGUACCGUGAGGGAAAGUUGAAAAGGACUUUGAAGAGAGAGUUCAACAGUACGUGAAGCCGUUAGAAGCCUAAACGGGUGGAACCGCGAAGGUCGAACGAGGGCACUCACCUCGUCGGGCGGGCGGGACCCGGGGCGCUCCGACAGGCCGGCGCCGAAAGUAAGAAAUGAGUUGGAGCGCAGGAGCGCCCUGUCCGUCGCGUCCCGCUCCGGCGGGCGUACUUGUCCCUCCAGUAGGAGACGCCGCGAGCCGUGGCGGGGACCAAGAGGCCCACGCAGCCCGGAUUGGUACCCUCGGUCCGGAGGGGAAACCGCGGCUGGGAGUUAGAUGGUGGCCCUGCCACGGCCUGGCCCAGGGCGGCCGCUCUGCCUUCUGGGCGGCGGCGGCCGG